CCAAAGGGUGACUACCUUUGAUGCUCAUCUGCCUCUCCAGAGAAGACAUUAGUGAUCGCCCCCUCCUCCUACAAGUUCUUCUGGUUACUUACGAACAAGUCUAGACAAUAUAUUUCAAACUCAAAAAUCGGACAGGAGAUAAAUAGAUUCGGGAAGAGGGACUUCAGCCAUUUUUCACAGCCCUGCAGAAGUCACGCACAUUUCUGCUGAAUCAAGCACAAGAUAAUGCUACAAGAUCCACUCAACUGAAACACAUCACCUCAGCCACCAUACGUUGCUAACUAUUAAAACAAAAUGGGAAUCGG
Hyaena hyaena (striped hyena) is the source of this 305-nucleotide long non-coding RNA. RefSeq lists it as uncharacterized. The record is from RefSeq and is a predicted model, not a curated record. Lineage: Eukaryota; Metazoa; Chordata; Mammalia; Carnivora; Hyaenidae. The transcript is spliced from 2 exons.